AAUAUUGCACACUGGGCUAAAGCCUGAUGCAGCACCGCCGCGUGAGUGAUGAAGGUCUUCGGGUCGUAAAGCUCUUUGAUCAGGGAUGAUAAUGACAGUACCUGAAAAACAAGCCACGGCUACCUACGUGCCAGCAGCCGCGGUAAUACGUAGGUGGCGAGCGUGUUCCGGAAUUACGGGGCGUAAAGGAUGCGUAGGUGGAUACUUAAGGUGGAUGUGAAAUCCCCGGGCUCAACCCGGGAACUGCAUUCCAAACUGGGUAUCUAGAGUGCAGGAGAGGAAAGCGGAAUUCCUAGUGUAGCGGUGAAAUGCGUAGAUAUUAGGAGGAACACCAGUGGCGAAGGCGGCUUUCUGGACUGUAACUGACACUGAGGCAUGAAAGCGUGGGUAGCAAACAGG
This 399-nucleotide ribosomal RNA is filed under the name uncultured bacterium. RNAcentral describes it as "partial 16S ribosomal RNA". It matches the Rfam family "Bacterial small subunit ribosomal RNA", at positions 360 to 776 of the family's 1533-position model. The record is from RNAcentral.